This 51-nucleotide transfer RNA is filed under the name Plestiodon sp. 2 CPV-2018. RNAcentral describes it as "partial tRNA-Gln". The record is from RNAcentral. Lineage: Eukaryota; Metazoa; Chordata; Lepidosauria; Squamata; Scincidae.
AGUACGUGGGGUUUUGGGCCCCUCAGUGCAGGCUCGGAUCCUGUCUCUCUA